UAUGAUUACCCUGAACGGUGGAUCACUUGGCUCGU
RNAcentral lists this ribosomal RNA (35 nucleotides) under Cosmocomoidea ashmeadi. RNAcentral's name for it is "partial 5.8S ribosomal RNA". The record is from RNAcentral. Lineage: Eukaryota; Metazoa; Arthropoda; Insecta; Hymenoptera; Mymaridae.